Molecule: long non-coding RNA, 1513 nt
Organism: Orcinus orca (killer whale)
Lineage: Eukaryota; Metazoa; Chordata; Mammalia; Artiodactyla; Delphinidae
Exons: 3
Source: RefSeq, a predicted model, not a curated record
GCAUGUGAAUUCCAAGCCCUUUUUAAUCUGUCACUCGUGUAUAAUAUGUCAAAGGGCUGGCGCCAAAAAUGCGGAUUACAUAUGAGUGAGUUGGACGACUUUUCCUGACAUAAGUAUGCCUUAAAUUACAUACUGUUCAUUUGGUUUUUAAAAUGUGGAGUUCUACUUUUUUGUGGUUGUCAAAUAUGUCUUGGAAAGCAGUAAAAUUUCUCAAUAAGGAUCAGAAGUUUUCUGCCGAACAAAGUCGACGCUACUCUUUUGGUGCUCCGUGUACUGCUAUUUGGAGAUCAGUGAGGUUUAUUUGUGUUUCAUUAAUCAUUAUUGCUUGAGGUUGAAUAAUAAUCAUCACAGAGAUAAUAAAUAUCCCGUGCCAGUCUGAUUUCUUUGCUUAAGAGUUGCCAAGAGGUGCAUGGACAUCGCAAACUGAAACCUGACGUCUGGGUACACCGUGCCUGGGGUGGAGGAGGUGGAAUCUACACGCUGUGAUUUCAGAGGCUCAUGGAGAUGAGGGAUGCUGUGAGGCUGUGGUGCCACUGUGGGUCCCGGACGACUGAGACUCUGACAGGCAAAUGGCCAAAGGCGUCUGGGAUGAGAACUGACCCAACAUCUGCAGCAUCAGAAAAGGCUGUCACCGCGGGCUUUCCUGAGGCCACAGGAUAUCAAGACAUCAGGACACAGAAGAAUAUGUCCAUUCAAGCGUCUCCACCCCAGUGAGCUGGGUAGGGGACUUCUCUAGAAUGUGCUGCAUGAAUGGUUACCUGGGUUCCAAGUUCUGUUGGGCUCUAUUGCCAGGCAAGUGAGGUCACUUCCUGGGGUCGCUUUACCCGGCUUCCUCCUCACACAAAUCUCCCCAAGGGCCCCUAUGGGCUGCUGACUUCUCAACCCUCACCCCAUGCCGUGUCCAUGCACAGUGACACAAGUGGGGAGUCCUGGGUUCAUCUUCCCAACACACAAGAAAAGAAUAGGCAUGGGCCCACGCCCAUCUUAUCCUUCUCCACCCGACCAGCCCCAUCAUGUCAGAAAAAUAUGUCCCUCCUCCUGUCAGAAGACAAACACCAGGUAAAAGACUUAGAUGUAAAGCAGACCAGAAUAUUGUUUUGAUCUAUAGACACUUAAAAAAAAUGGCAGAAAUGAAGCAAACAAAGCACCCAAACAACAGGUGCAAGAAGGGUGGGCUCACCCUUCCCCUUUUCCUUCCUGGAAGCAAGAGAUGACAUAUCCAUCACCCACUGCCCCCCGUGGAAGACGUCCUCCCUCUGCAGGAAGGAGAGUAACAUUGUUACUGUCAAGGGCAGAGAGUGAAGAAUGGGAGGAUUCUGUACUGACCUUGCUCCACAGCAUUCUCAUCCUCCUUUGCCCCCCUGCAUAGUGUAGUUCCUUUUCCACAUCUGCCUCUCUUUGUUCAACCCAACAGAAGAGCAUUUAGGCUUUGCCACUUCUCUGGGUCUCUCUUCAUUUCCUUAGGAGCGUUCCCCACGUCAUAUAAAACUUAGGGAAAAUAAAUGAGGAUGCU